Molecule: long non-coding RNA, 537 nt
Filed under: Populus trichocarpa (black cottonwood)
Lineage: Eukaryota; Viridiplantae; Streptophyta; Magnoliopsida; Malpighiales; Salicaceae
Description: long non-coding RNA (PTRI_LNC003623)
Source: RNAcentral
GGUGGGCGUUGGUUUUGGGGGUAUGGUUGGUUCAGUUUUUUUUUUUUUGUCUUGGCGAGCUGCGGUUCUGGUCGAGGGAGAUGAAGGGAACGAUUGAGAGGCUGGGAGACGGAGGGCUGUGAGAGGGAGGAGAGAGCGUGCAGUGGCAGAGGGGGAAGCUAGCGAUGGAGAAGGUGAAUAAUAGAUCUGGAAAAGAGAAGGAGUAAUCGGGCGACAGAGAGAGGGAAAAGUCGGGGACGGCUGAAAAAGGAGAAAAGGAAAAGAAAGCGAGAGUGGCGACCGGUUUGGUUUUUAUAGCGUAGGUGGAGGCGAUUCUGUGCAGAGAAAAUAUAUCUACGGUUUUUUUUAUGCUUCCUUAAAUUUUCUCCGCUCAAAAUUGCCCCCCUACAUAAAAAUGUGGUGUGGAAAUCUAUUUAUAAGUGAAGAAAGUUAUUUUUAAUCGACUGGUCCCUCAGUUUGUUGUCUUUCACGAAUUGAUUUUUGACUGUGAAAUGUUUUUAAUUAAUUUUUAAUUGAUAUCAAAAUUUUAAUGCUCUU